CUGUUUCCUUUCGCCUCACCGGAGAGACACUAUAACGUACACGUUACUGUACAUAUGCUUCAGCAAGCAUUAAAUGCGCCCCUGCGCAUUUAACGUAAUAUUCCACGCUCUUCGACACACCGAGUGUUUGCUGUUUAGAAUCUUCUCCGACGCCUCCGCUUCCUGAAAUCCUUGAACUAUUCUAUUGACCACAUUGCACCAUUACAAUCACCGUUGUAGUCU
This 222-nucleotide long non-coding RNA is filed under the name Ananas comosus (pineapple). RNAcentral describes it as "long non-coding RNA (ACOM_LNC033420)". The record is from RNAcentral. Lineage: Eukaryota; Viridiplantae; Streptophyta; Magnoliopsida; Poales; Bromeliaceae.